This 259-nucleotide ribosomal RNA is filed under the name uncultured bacterium. RNAcentral's name for it is "partial 16S ribosomal RNA". It matches the Rfam family "Bacterial small subunit ribosomal RNA", at positions 524 to 776 of the family's 1533-position model. The record is from RNAcentral.
UACGUAGGGUGCGAGCGUUAAUCGGAAUUACUGGGCGUAAAGCGUGCGCAGGCGGUUAUGUAAGACAGUUGUGAAAUCCCCGGGCUCAACCUGGGAAUUGCAUCUGUGACUGCAUAGCUAGAGUACGGUAGAGGGGGGAUGGAAUUCCGCGUGUAGCAGUGAAAUGCGUAGAUAUGCGGAGGAACACCGAUGGCGAAGGGCAAUCCCCCUGGACCUGGUACUGACGCUCAUGCACGAAAAGCGUGGGGGAGCAAACAGG